AUACGGAGGGUGCAAGCGUUAUUCGGAAUCACUGGGCGUAAGGGACACGUAGGCGGGAAGCCAAGUCUGAUGUGAAAUCCUACAGCUUAACUGUAGAACUGCAUUGGAAACUGGUUACCUAGAGUAUGGGAGGGGGAGAUGGAAUUAGUGGUGUAGGGGUAAAAUCCGUAGAUAUCACUAGGAAUACCUAAAGCGAAGGCGAUCUCCUGGAGCAUUACUGACGCUAAGGUGUGAAAGCGUGGGGAGCAAACGGGAUUAGAAACCCUAGUAGUCC
RNAcentral lists this ribosomal RNA (274 nucleotides) under uncultured bacterium. Its description in RNAcentral is "partial 16S ribosomal RNA". It matches the Rfam family "Bacterial small subunit ribosomal RNA", at positions 523 to 796 of the family's 1533-position model. The record is from RNAcentral.